AUACGGAGGGUGCAAGCGUUAAUCGGAAUUACUGGGCGUAAAGCGUGCGUAGGUGGUUUGUUAAGUCAGAUGUGAAAGCCCCGGGCUCAACCUGGGAACUGCAUUUGAAACUGGCAUACUAGAGUAUAGGAGAGGAAAGUGGAAUUUCAGGUGUAGCGGUGAAAUGCGUAGAUAUCUGAAGGAACAUCAAUGGCGAAGGCAGCUUUCUGGACUAAUACUGACACUGAGGUACGAAAGCGUGGGUAGCAAACAGGAGUAGAAACCCUAGUAGUCC
Molecule: ribosomal RNA, 274 nt
Filed under: uncultured bacterium
Lineage: Bacteria
Description: partial 16S ribosomal RNA
Rfam family: Bacterial small subunit ribosomal RNA
Source: RNAcentral